RNAcentral lists this transfer RNA (73 nucleotides) under marine sediment metagenome. RNAcentral's name for it is "tRNA-Arg". It matches the Rfam family "tRNA". From Rfam's summary of the family: Transfer RNA (tRNA) molecules are approximately 80 nucleotides in length. Their secondary structure includes four short double-helical elements and three loops (D, anti-codon, and T loops). The record is from RNAcentral.
GCCCUUGUGGUCUAAUGGAUAAGGCUCAAGUUUUCUAAACUUGUAGAUGCGGGUUCGAUUCCUGUCAGGGGUA